UGGGGAAUAUUGCACAAUGGGCGCAAGCCUGAUGCAGCCAUGCCGCGUGUGUGAAGAAGGCCUUCGGGUUGUAAAGCACUUUCAGCGGGGAGGAAGGCGGUGAGGGUAAUAACCUCAUCGAUUGACGUUACCGACAGAAGAAGCACCGGCUAACUCCGUGCCAGCAGCCGCGGUAAUACGGAGGGUGCAAGCGUUAAUCGGAAUUACUGGGCGUAAAGAGCACGCAGGCGGUUGAUUGAGUCAGAGGUGAAAUCCCCGGGCUUAACCCGGGAAAUGCAUAUGAUACUGGUAAGCUAGAGUCUUGUAGAGGGGGGUAGAAUUCCAUGUGUAGCGGUGAAAUGCGUAGAGAUGUGGAGGAAUACCGGUGGCGAAGGCGGCCCCCUGGACAAAGACUGACGCUCAGGUGCGAAAGCGUGGGGAGCAAACAGG
This 429-nucleotide ribosomal RNA is filed under the name Chloroflexota bacterium. RNAcentral describes it as "Chloroflexi bacterium partial 16S ribosomal RNA". It matches the Rfam family "Bacterial small subunit ribosomal RNA", at positions 355 to 776 of the family's 1533-position model. Lineage: Bacteria; Bacillati; Chloroflexota. The record is from RNAcentral.